UCUCUCUGAAUCUGCGAACGGCUCCGCAAACCAGUUGUAAACUAUAGCAAGCAAUCCUCGGCUGGGCUUCGGCUCGGUCGGGGUAACAUGGAUAACCCUGGUAAUUCUGAGGCUAAUACAAGAACGUACUCCCUGGCUGACCGGCAACGGAAGGCUGGGGGACGUGCAAUAGUUUUCGUAAGAUGAACCGGGAAAGGGUGCACGUUCGGACCGCGCUAAAGACGAAUCUCGGUGAGCCCGCAAGGGUGAGCCUUGGCUCGAGCGGCUCUUGCGGUGUGCUUCUGACCUAUCAACUAGAUGGCAGCGUAAGGGACAUGCUAUGGUUACAACGGGUACAGAGGAUUAGGGUUCGAUCCUGGAGAGUGGGCCUGAGAGAUU
Molecule: ribosomal RNA, 378 nt
Rfam family: Eukaryotic small subunit ribosomal RNA